RNAcentral lists this non-coding RNA (30 nucleotides) under Mus musculus (house mouse). Lineage: Eukaryota; Metazoa; Chordata; Mammalia; Rodentia; Muridae. The record is from RNAcentral.
UGCUUCCGUCUCAUUGGUCAGAGCUGAUGC